CCUCAGUGAGGACCUGCAACAGGGAAGGCGCAACAUAAUAUUAAAGGGAUUGAACUGGAUGGACAAGAUGGCCAAAUGAAUUAGGAGUCAUCUAACCUUUGCCAUGCAAUAUCACAAGCACAUGACGUGGUAGAGUAUAAGCCAAAUGAAGCAAAAUAUUAUCAACAAACAGUAGGUCCUACCAAAACAAAUAAAAAGAGAUGAACAUGGAAAUCCAGCAAAGGAAAGUACGGUAGGAGAAAAAAUAAUAAAUUAAUACCACAGGAACAAUUUCCUGCACAAGCGUAAAGGUACAUUUUAAAUCUCAAAAGGAAAAAAGAAGCAACUUACAUUUUUUUAUAGUGUCCAUGAUUAACCAAUAAGCUUCAUCUUCCUGAAGUUACACACAGACACAAAUUGCUUAGUGCAAAGCAAAAUCCCAUGUUACACUGAAUGGCAACAAAAAUGGCACAAGGCAGAGCUGCUUUGAUUCUUGAAAACCCUAUGUGUAGCAGUAUCAAUAAUCAAAUAGCAUCACCUUGAAAGAUUAAUCGGAGCACCACGAACAUAUAGAUUUUCUAAAAGCCAGAGAACUCUAUCAAAGCAGGUCUGCCUUGUGUCUUCUUUUUGUGAAAGCAGUUCUGCAUUCAGAAAUAGAACCAAUCUAUUUUCUAAAAUCAAAAUAGAAUUUGACCAGUUUUGCAUCAACUAAAGGUAAUGUUCCAUUGGUGGCCUAGCAGGCUAGCACUGAAAAACUAAAAAUAUUGCUAUCACAAAGGUAGUGUUCCAUUGUUGGCAUAGCACAGGAAACUCGAAAUAUUGCUAUCACAAGAAGAUUGCACCAUAUCCAAAAUAGAAAUUAAUUGGUGAUAAGUAACAUGCUAAAAAUAUAGCUUCCAUGUUUUUGUCCAAUCGAACUUCAUAAUAGGCAGACUUUAUUUGGCUCAUCUGAUAUAAACUAAAAUGGAAGUUCCACCGCAUGUAGCAAGAAUUUGAUUGUCUAAUCUAACCCUACAAAAAUGUAAAAGUAGUUGAGUAUAUGGAAGUAUUACUAAAGAACACAUUUAAAAGAGAGGUCUCGAGGCGAAGGAAAGUCCUAGAUUCCAUUUUUAUAAACAUGAUAUUACUUUGGAUGUGCAAAUACAAAUAAACCUAUGUAGGUUUUUCAUAUAGCCUAAAACAGUUUUCAUAGUUUGAAAGGCAUUGUUAAAUUAGGCACUAUUGUACUCUUCCUAGGUUUUGGUUGUUUACUGCUAGGUAUAGCGCAUCCGGUUUGAUUUUGCAAGCCUUUCAGACAUGGGAAGGGUCUGUAAUGCAAAUAGUCUCUCCAUGAUGAUAGUAGUAGUUGUGAUGAUGAACAUGACACUCCAUCCAUCUCAAAAUAUGUAGUGGUCUUUCUUUUAGGAUAUACUAGUGUUUAAUAAAAGGUACUUGUGUAUCAUUUUUAUAAGGUAGGAGGAAAUUCUAUUUGGCAUGCUCCAGCCUAUACAUAUAAUUUUUGUUUCAUGUGAUUUACCUCUAGAAGAUUGAAUCCCAUGAUGCUAGCCAAAUUGGAAGCAGACACUGGGAGCCCUUGCCGUACCUAAUCAUAAGCCUUUCUAUCAAAAGAAGCAGCAACACCAAGAAUAGCUAAUUGUUGCUAGUCGUAAUGAAAAAUACAAUUGAGUUCCUAACAAUCUAAUAAUAGACAUAAAAGCAAAGUCAAUGCAGGUAUCAAGGAAAGUUCCCAGCUAGAACUAUCAAGUUUCGAACAUUAUUAAUAGCCAUAAUUAGUCGAGUAGGGAAUAAAGAAGCACAAUAGCUUAAAUUAGCUCAUAUCGGCCUUUCCCUAAGCCAAAUGCACCUAAAUGUUUAUGAAGAAAGCACUGAAUUAGAGUAAUCAAGGAUGAUCAAUUCUGGGCAUUGCAACGAUCAUCUCAAAUAAAGUAAUAUACUUACCUAUAUAUCCUAGAGUUAAUGGCAGAACACUAUACGUAAUAGAUAGAGAGUUGGGGAUGGAGAUUAGGGGCAAGCACCUGUUUUUUCGGACGAAUAGAAUCAAUCAUUGAAACUCCAGUGUAGAUUAGAAGAGGGGUCAGGUCACGGUUGCAUCGCGGGUGUCAAGCACAGGGAGUUAGGGUUUCGUGGAGCUCACCGAAACGGCGGGAGCGGCCAGCGCCAUGGGGCAGGCACGCCGGCGGCCAGGGAAUGGCGGCCGCUGAGGCAUACGCGCGCCACCGUGCACCAAAUCGGCGAUGCAGUCGCCCGGGCAGGGCACCGCGCAGUGAGUAGGCGGCGCCGAGGCUCGGCAGGCACACUGCGAUGCCGAGAGAGAGGGAGAGGGAGAGGGAGGAGGAGAAGGAGAGUGGAAGGGAGCGGCGUCACCGUGCCCCGCUCGCGGCCGUCGCCGUCACUGUUGUCCGCGUCGGGAGGAAGAGCGAGAGCGAGAGGGAGAGGGAGACCGAGCGAGGGAGGAGAAGGGUCAAGACGCAGAAGGCUCGGGAAGGUGGAGCCGAAGCUGUUGUAUAUAUUUGCUUUUCGG
RNAcentral lists this long non-coding RNA (2500 nucleotides) under Sorghum bicolor (sorghum). Its description in RNAcentral is "long non-coding RNA (SBIC_LNC001432)". Lineage: Eukaryota; Viridiplantae; Streptophyta; Magnoliopsida; Poales; Poaceae. The record is from RNAcentral.